AAUUCUAAAAAAGAAUAAUGUUGUAUCUGUUACAAAAUGCAGUUAUACGUUUGGCAAUGCGUUGAUGUUACUUUUAUUUCCAAACAUAAACAAAUUGACAUGAGUUGUUUCUCACAUAGUUUUGCUACGAUGGUUUCUUUCAUUUCAAGCCUGAUCCUGCAGUUAUGCAAAAACCAAGCUUUCACUGAAGACAAUGGAAAUAUGAAAUGUGAAGAAAUGCAGUAUUAGGCACUUUGUGAUUUAAAAGAACCACAACAGAAAUGAGCAGAAAAAAGCUUCAAUGGAUGAAAAAAAGUUAUACAGACACACAUAAAUGAGGAGAUCCUGAAUAUAACAAUGAUACUUUCAAUAAGUCAUCUACCUAUUUGUAGUGAAAAGCCGCUGAGGUUUACGUAUCAAAUUACAGGAACAUUUUUUUAAAAUAAUGCAUACAACCUGCUGAAUGAUUAAAGUUUCUAAAAUGUUAUUAUAAAAAUCAAUGAAGCUUUGAGCGGAUAACAAAAAAAAAAAUCAAACAAUUUUAUGCUUGUUAGCUGUCUACAACAGUGAAACUAACUCAUGAUUAUGCUGCUUGCACCUGUCACGAACAUAACAGUGAUCUCUGGAGCUGAUUAUUCUAGGACAGUGUAACACUAAUUAUAUCAAAAGAAGAGCAGACUGAGUAAAAUAAUUUUUGAUAUAUGAUGGCUGUUAUAAAUGUCACAUAUCAUAUAGUUACAGUUUAUUCAGUGGCACAAUUAGCUCUUCAUUGCUGGGAACUGGGUAAUGCUAUGCUGUCUUACAUUACAGAAAGUUCACCAAUUCUAAAGAGCUACUUUCAUAAAAGCAGUUUAAAUCAAAUGGGUAAGAGAACACAUUUUUGCAGGCUUAUAUGAAAACACUGAAGAAUGGACAGUAAGAUUAACCAUAAAGAAUAACCUGUUAUUUUAAUGUUGUAAUGGUAAUUGUUAUUCCUGUUCAGGUGAAGAGUGGGAUGGGAAGAAAAUAAUGUUUAACUUUACAUUGAAACUUCAGAGACUAAAAUCAAUAUAUAUGGCACUGUUAUUGCAGACCCUGCACUUCCAACUGUUGAAGCUUGCUGUGAAUGAUAUAAUAAGAAGCUUAAUGCCGGUCACCGGGCGCCUUUCUUGCAGGUCAAGUAUAACAGCUUGCACCAUCACUUCAGCCUGUGUCUCAAUGUCACUGAAGGCCUCUGCUUCUAUUAUUACUUCAUUUAU
Chelonia mydas (Green sea turtle) is the source of this 1217-nucleotide long non-coding RNA. RefSeq lists it as uncharacterized. The record is from RefSeq and is a predicted model, not a curated record. The transcript is spliced from 3 exons. NCBI's taxonomy places the organism in Eukaryota, Metazoa, Chordata, Testudines, Cheloniidae.